CUGGUAUUGAUUGGUGCUUGCAUCAUGAUUUACAUUUGAGUGAGUGGCGAACUGGUGAGUAACACGUGGGAAACCUGCCCAGAAGCGGGGGAUAACACCUGGAAACAGAUGCUAAUACCGCAUAACAACUUGGACCGCAUGGUCCGAGCUUGAAAGAUGGCUUCGGCUAUCACUUUUGGAUGGUCCCGCGGCGUAUUAGCUAGAUGGUGGGGUAACGGCUCACCAUGGCAAUGAUACGUAGCCGACCUGAGAGGGUAAUCGGCCACAUUGGGACUGAGACACGGCCCAAACUCCUACGGGAGGCAGCAGUAGGGAAUCUUCCACAAUGGACGAAAGUCUGAUGGAGCAACGCCGCGUGAGUGAAGAAGGGUUUCGGCUCGUAAAACUCUGUUGUUAAAGAAGAACAUAUCUGAGAGUAACUGUUCAGGUAUUGACGGUAUUUAACCAGAAAGCCACGGCUAACUACGUGCCAGCAGCCGCGGUAAUACGUAGGUGGCAAGCGUUGUCCGGAUUUAUUGGGCGUAAAGCGAGCGCAGGCGGUUUUUUAAGUCUGAUGUGAAA
Molecule: ribosomal RNA, 561 nt
Filed under: Lactiplantibacillus plantarum
Lineage: Bacteria; Bacillati; Bacillota; Bacilli; Lactobacillales; Lactobacillaceae
Description: bacterial SSU rRNA
Rfam family: Bacterial small subunit ribosomal RNA
Source: RNAcentral